Long non-coding RNA from Cebus imitator (Panamanian white-faced capuchin), 957 nucleotides. RefSeq lists it as uncharacterized. The record is from RefSeq and is a predicted model, not a curated record. NCBI's taxonomy places the organism in Eukaryota, Metazoa, Chordata, Mammalia, Primates, Cebidae. The transcript is spliced from 7 exons.
CCAAAGUGCGGGGAUUACAGGCGUGAGCCACUGUGCCUGGCUGGAAGUUGCUGUUUUGAGGUGCUUAGGCCCAAGCCCGGGAAUCUGCUGAAUGAAUGCAUGAAGGUGGAGCCCUUUCUCUUAAUGCACAGGCACCGCUGAGAGCACCUGGAAAGAGAAGACCCUGCCGGACUCUCCUCUCCCUUCACUUCAGGUUCCCAGGAAGUACCAAGAUUAGUGUCAAUGAAAAGAUGGAUCAAAACUGCCUAGAAAAGGCUUCAGUGGUGCUCAGACUGGAUGAUUGAAUCCUGAAUAAUUGGAAAUCAACAGCACCACCAUGCUCUGUGACACCCGUGACCUUCCACAAGCUGUCUCUUCUACCAGGAUGUUACUGCCACCACUGUCUCCCAGCCAACUCCUAGUUAUCAUAUAAAGCCGAGCUCUAACUUCGCUGUCUCCAGGAAGUUUCUGUCACCCUCGAAAACUGUAAGAUACAAAAGACAAGAAGACAACCACAGGAACAACCAGAAAAAAAAGACACCUGACCUCCAGGGUCUUGCUCUGUUGCCCAAGUUACAUCACAGUGGUGCAUCCAAGGCUCACUACCACCUCAACAUCCUGGGCUCAAGUGGUCCUCCUGCAUCGGCCUCCUGAGUAGCCGGGACUACGGGUGUACACCACCAUGACCAGGUAAUUGUAUUCUCUUUUUGUGGUGAUGGGGUCUCAUUAUGUUGUCCAGGCUGGUCCUGAACUCCUCAGCCACUCAAUUUGCUGAAAUUAUAGGCCUGAACCACCAUGCCUGGCCAGGAUAAAUUUUUACAGCCUUGGAGUAGCAAAAGAUUUCUUAAAUAAGACACUAAACGUACAAGUUAUAAAUUAAAUGAGUGAAAGAUCUGACUAUAUUUACAUUUUAAAAAACCUUUCUGGGCCAGGCACAGUGGCUCAUGCCUAUAAUCCCAGCACUUUGGGAGGCCGAGG